This 243-nucleotide long non-coding RNA is filed under the name Mytilus galloprovincialis (Mediterranean mussel). The record is from RNAcentral. Lineage: Eukaryota; Metazoa; Mollusca; Bivalvia; Mytilida; Mytilidae.
GAUAGGUUCGGACAAGGCUCUAAUUCACUGAAUAUCCUUUCUCUCUUGAUUUUUGGCUAAAAUUCUUGUCGGCUUUUAGCAGGAUUCUGCAGGUGAGGAUUAGAUUGGUAUCAGAGCAUCACAUUUUUUGCCUUAUUUGCAAUGCAUUUAUAAAUUUUUAAAUCUCCAUGCUGGACAGACACCCAAAUUUAAAGGUUUUCUAUAUAUUUACACAAGCACGCACACAUCUUAGUUCCUUGAAAC